AAUCCCUGAUAUCUGCUUGGAUCAGUUCAAGUGAAGAAUGAGCUAGCUGUGAAGUCUUUCUAUCUCUCGAGCUAAAUUAUCCAACUAAGGUGAAGAGGUGGUAGAUGUGCUCACUCUUACUGAUAGUGAAACUAAAAUCAGUCUGAUCUCCCUCUCAAUGUCAAAAAUUCUGCCACUGAACCUGAGUAGGGAACCCUCCACACUCUCUAGUCUAGUA
RNAcentral lists this long non-coding RNA (217 nucleotides) under Elaeis guineensis (African oil palm). RNAcentral's name for it is "long non-coding RNA (EGUI_LNC077788)". Lineage: Eukaryota; Viridiplantae; Streptophyta; Magnoliopsida; Arecales; Arecaceae. The record is from RNAcentral.